AGGCAUAGUUUAGCGGUAAAACUGCGGCUUCCCAAGCCGCCGUCGCGGGUUCGACUCCCGUUGCCUG
RNAcentral lists this transfer RNA (67 nucleotides) under human gut metagenome. It matches the Rfam family "tRNA". From Rfam's summary of the family: Transfer RNA (tRNA) molecules are approximately 80 nucleotides in length. Their secondary structure includes four short double-helical elements and three loops (D, anti-codon, and T loops). The record is from RNAcentral.